CGUGCUCGCAGAUUUGAGACCCGCCGCACUCCUUGCAGUAUCUGCGCUGACGACCAUGCUCGCAGACUGAUGCACCACCGCACUCCUUGCACCUAGAGCGCUGACGGCCGUGCUUGCAGACUCCAACCCCACCGCACUCCUUGCAGUAAGUGCGCCGACGACCGUGCUCGCAGAUUGAUGCACCACCGCACUCCUUGCAGUAACGACGCUCACGACCGUGCUCGCAGAUUUGAGACCCACCGCACUCCUUGCACGUAGUGCGCCUCUUCCCGUGCGGACAAGCGCUGCACACCUUGCAUUGAUAGCGCAACUUCCCGUGGGGACAAGCGCUGCACACCUUGCAUUGCGACCGAUACUUCACCCCGUGCUCGCAUG
RNAcentral lists this long non-coding RNA (375 nucleotides) under Micromonas commoda. RNAcentral's name for it is "long non-coding RNA (MCOM_LNC000258)". Lineage: Eukaryota; Viridiplantae; Chlorophyta; Mamiellophyceae; Mamiellales; Mamiellaceae. The record is from RNAcentral.